Molecule: ribosomal RNA, 498 nt
Filed under: uncultured bacterium
Lineage: Bacteria
Description: partial 16S ribosomal RNA
Rfam family: Bacterial small subunit ribosomal RNA
Source: RNAcentral
GACGAACGCUGGCGGCAUGCCUAAUACAUGCAAGUUGAACGAUGAUAUUCUCUGCUUGCAGAGAAUUGAGGAGUAGCGAACGGGUGAGUAACACGUGGGGAACCUGCCCAUGAGAGGGGGAUAACAUUCGGAAACGGAUGCUAAUACCGCAUAAUGCUUUGGACCGCCUGGUCCAGAGACGAAAGACGGCUUUUGCUGUCACUCAUGGAUGGCCCCGCGCCGUAUUAGCUAGUUGGUGAGGUAAUGGCUCACCAAAGCUGUGAUACGUAGCCGACCUGAGAGGGUGAUCGGCCACACUGGGACUGAGACACGGCCCAGACUCCUACGGGAGGCAGCAGUAGGGAAUCUUCCACAAUGGGCGAAAGCCUGAUGGAGCAAUGCCGCGUGAAUGAAGAAGGUCUUCGGAUCGUAAAGUUCUGUUAUUAGAGAAGAACAAGUCAAGGAGUAACUGUCUUGACUUUGACGGUACCUAACCAGAAAGUCACGGCUAACUACGUG